Molecule: ribosomal RNA, 585 nt
Filed under: Pseudomonas sp. StFRB067
Lineage: Bacteria; Pseudomonadati; Pseudomonadota; Gammaproteobacteria; Pseudomonadales; Pseudomonadaceae
Also listed under: 2 other names
Description: bacterial SSU rRNA
Rfam family: Bacterial small subunit ribosomal RNA
Source: RNAcentral
ACGGGUGAGUAAUACCUAGGAAUCUGCCUGGUAGUGGGGGACAACGUUUCGAAAGGAACGCUAAUACCGCAUACGUCCUACGGGAGAAAGCAGGGGACCUUCGGGCCUUGCGCUAUCAGAUGAGCCUAGGUCGGAUUAGCUAGUUGGUGAGGUAAUGGCUCACCAAGGCUACGAUCCGUAACUGGUCUGAGAGGAUGAUCAGUCACACUGGAACUGAGACACGGUCCAGACUCCUACGGGAGGCAGCAGUGGGGAAUAUUGGACAAUGGGCGAAAGCCUGAUCCAGCCAUGCCGCGUGUGUGAAGAAGGUCUUCGGAUUGUAAAGCACUUUAAGUUGGGAGGAAGGGCAGUAAGCGAAUACCUUGCUGUUUUGACGUUACCGACAGAAUAAGCACCGGCUAACUCUGUGCCAGCAGCCGCGGUAAUACAGAGGGUGCAAGCGUUAAUCGGAAUUACUGGGCGUAAAGCGCGCGUAGGUGGUUCGUUAAGUUGGAUGUGAAAUCCCCGGGCUCAACCUGGGAACUGCAUCCAAAACUGGCGAGCUAGAGUAGGGCAGAGGGUGGUGGAAUUUCCUGUGUAGCGGUG